RNAcentral lists this ribosomal RNA (524 nucleotides) under uncultured bacterium. RNAcentral describes it as "partial 16S ribosomal RNA". It matches the Rfam family "Bacterial small subunit ribosomal RNA", at positions 28 to 523 of the family's 1533-position model. The record is from RNAcentral.
GACGAACGCUGGCGGCGUGCCUAAUACAUGCAAGUCGAACGAAGCUGUUUUAACUGGUGCUUGCACCGACUUAAACAACUGAGUGGCGAACGGGUGAAUAACACGUGGGUAACCUGCCCCAAAGCGGGGGAUAACAUUUGGAAACAGACGCUAAUACCGCAUAACCACAGAAACCACAUGGUUUCUGUGUCAAAGAUGGUUUCGGCUAUCACUUUGGGAUGGACCAGCGGCGUAUUAGCUAGUUGGUAAGGUAAUGGCUUACCAAGGCAAUGAUACGUAGCCGAACUGAGAGGUUGAUCGGCCACAUUGGGACUGAGACACGGCCCAAACUCCUACGGGAGGCAGCAGUAGGGAAUCUUCCACAAUGGACGAAAGUCUGAUGGAGCAACGCCGCGUGAGUGAAGAAGGUUUUCGGAUCGUAAAACUCUGUUGUCAGAGAAGAACGUGUGCGAGAGUAACUGCUCGUGCAGUGACGGUAUCUGGCCAGAAAGCCACGGCUAACUACGUGCCAGCCGCCGCGGUAA